GACGAACGCUGGCGGCGUGCUUAACACAUGCAAGUCGAACGGAAAGGCCCUGCUUUUGUGGGGUGCUCGAUUGGCGAACGGGGGAGUAACACGUGAGUAACCUGCCCUUGUCUUUGGGAUAACUUCAGGAAACUGGGGCUAAUACCGGAUAGGAGCUCCUGAUGCAUGGGGGGGGUUGGAAAGUUUCGGCGGUUGGGGCUGGACUAGCGGCUUAUCCGCUUGUUGGUGAGGUAGUGGCGGACCAAGGCUUUGACGGGUAGCCGGCCUGAGAGGGUAAACGGCGUCAUGGGGACUGAGAUAGGGCCCAGAAUGCUAUGGGCGGCAGCAGUCGAGAGUAUUGCACAAUGGGGGGAAGCGAGAUGCAGCAGUGCCGCGUGCGGGAUGACGGCCUUCGGGGGGUAAACCGCUUUGGCCUGUGACGAAGCGUGAGUGACGGUAAUGGGUAAAGAAGCAACGGCUAACUACGUG
This 468-nucleotide ribosomal RNA is filed under the name uncultured bacterium. RNAcentral's name for it is "partial 16S ribosomal RNA". It matches the Rfam family "Bacterial small subunit ribosomal RNA", at positions 28 to 507 of the family's 1533-position model. The record is from RNAcentral.